AUUGAACGCUGGCGGCAGGCCUAACACAUGCAAGUCGAACGGUAACAGGAAGAAGCUUGCUUCUUUGCGGACGAGUGGCGGACGGGUGAGGAAUGUCUGGGAAACUGCCUGAUGGAGGGGGAUAACUACUGGAAACGGUAGCUAAUACCGCAUAACGUCGCAAGACCAAAGAGGGGGACCUUCUGGCCUCUUGCCAUCGGAUGUGCCCAGAUGGGAGUAGCUAGUAGGGGGGGUAACGGCUCACCUAGGCGACGAUCCCUAGCUGGUCUGAGAGGAUGACCAGCCACACUGGAACUGAGACACGGUCCAGACUCCUACGGGAGGCAGCAGUGGGGAAUAUUGCACAAUGGGCGCAAGCCUGAUGCAGCCAUGCCGCGUGUAUGAAGAAGGCCUUCGGGUUGUAAAGUACUUUCAGCGGGGAGGAAGGGAGUAAAGUUAAUACCUUUGCUCAUUGACGUUACCCGCAGAAGAAGCACCGGCUAACUCCGUG
RNAcentral lists this ribosomal RNA (490 nucleotides) under uncultured bacterium. Its description in RNAcentral is "partial 16S ribosomal RNA". It matches the Rfam family "Bacterial small subunit ribosomal RNA", at positions 30 to 507 of the family's 1533-position model. The record is from RNAcentral.